RNAcentral lists this unclassified non-coding RNA (244 nucleotides) under Glomus sp. RNAcentral describes it as "partial contains 5.8S ribosomal RNA and internal transcribed spacer 2". The stretch from base 1 to 65 matches the Rfam family "5.8S ribosomal RNA", at positions 84 to 154 of the family's 154-position model. Lineage: Eukaryota; Fungi; Glomeromycota; Glomeromycetes; Glomerales; Glomeraceae. The record is from RNAcentral.
GUGAAUCAUCGAAUUUUUGAACGCAAAUUGCACUCUCUUCGGAGAGUAUGCCUGUUUGAGGGUCAGCCUUAAAAAAAAUCGACAUAGUUGCUGUUUCGCGUUGACUUUCGCCGGAAAUUGGUUCAUCUUAAACUUUUUGGUUUUAAGCGGCUUAAAAUUUUCUUAACGAUUCAACGAACGUUUCUAAGAUUUACUUACACGUUUAAGGUAUCGAUCUUUAUUAGACGUGCCCUUUCCAUCGGUC